AAAUUAUCUUUUAUAAUUUUCUAAAAAUUACAACAAAAAAAUGAAUAAAAUAUUCCAUAUUCUAUCAGCUCUUGUUUUGAUUUCAGGAUAUAGGCAAAUUGCAGAGGGAAAUCCAAUCAAUAAUCCUACUCUGAAUGAUGUUAAGUAUGCG
Gordionus sp. m RMFG-2023 is the source of this 151-nucleotide long non-coding RNA. RefSeq lists it as uncharacterized. The transcript is spliced from 4 exons. The record is from RefSeq and is a predicted model, not a curated record. Lineage: Eukaryota; Metazoa; Nematomorpha; Gordioida; Chordodea; Parachordodidae.